Molecule: small RNA, 129 nt
Filed under: Aeromonas caviae
Lineage: Bacteria; Pseudomonadati; Pseudomonadota; Gammaproteobacteria; Aeromonadales; Aeromonadaceae
Description: RtT sRNA
Rfam family: RtT RNA
About the family: This family represents a bacterial cis-regulatory element known as RtT RNA.
Source: RNAcentral
CCGAUGCCGAUGGAGAGAAGGUGAGAAGCCUCGUCGGGUUCGAGCAGAGCAGCUUGCUGCGAUGAACGGCCGCAGGUCGCCCCGAAGGGGUGAGCCACGCGGUGGUGAAUUAUUCCUCCCUCACCGCCA